AAUAGAGUCGGUCCAAGAGAGAUACGUAAGAACUGUGUUUAUACCCUCAAGUCAUUUAGAAUAGAGUCGGUCCAAGAGAGAUAAGUAAGGUCGACUGUGUUAAUACCCUCAACUCAUUUAGAAUAGAGUCGGUCCAAGAGAGAUAAGUAAGGACUGUGUUAAUACCCUCAACUCAUUUAGAAUAGAGUCGGUCCAAGAGAGAUAAGUAAGGACUGUGUUAUUACCCUCAACUCAUUUAGAAUAGAGUCGGUCAAAGAGAG
This 260-nucleotide long non-coding RNA is filed under the name Mytilus galloprovincialis (Mediterranean mussel). The record is from RNAcentral. Lineage: Eukaryota; Metazoa; Mollusca; Bivalvia; Mytilida; Mytilidae.